Molecule: non-coding RNA, 72 nt
Organism: Alicyclobacillus hesperidum
Lineage: Bacteria; Bacillati; Bacillota; Bacilli; Caryophanales; Alicyclobacillaceae
Source: Rfam
GGCCCCAUGGUCAAGUGGUUAAGACACCGCCCUUUCACGGCGGUAACGCGGGUUCGAAUCCCGCUGGGGUCA